CCUACGGGAUGCAGCAGUGAGGAAUAUUGGUCAAUGGGCGGAAGCCUGAACCAGCCAAGUAGCGUGCAGGAUGACGGCCCUACGGGUUGUACACUGCUUUUAUACGGGAAUAACGCGCCUUACGUGUAGGGCUUUGCAUGUACCGUAUGAAUAAGGACCGGCUAAUUCCGUGCCAGUAGCCGCGGUAAUACGGAAGGUCCGGGAGUUAUCCGGAUUUAUUGGGUUUAACGGGGGCGUAGGCCGCAUGUCCAGCGUGCUGUGAAAUGUCCGGGCGAAACCCGGGCCUUGCAGCGCGAACUGGCGUGCUUGAGUCCGCGGAAAGCAGGCGGAAUU
This 333-nucleotide ribosomal RNA is filed under the name uncultured bacterium. RNAcentral's name for it is "partial 16S ribosomal RNA". It matches the Rfam family "Bacterial small subunit ribosomal RNA", at positions 338 to 668 of the family's 1533-position model. The record is from RNAcentral.